GUGCUUUGGGAGCACGUAAACUAAAAUUGGAAAAAAUGCAGAGAAAAUGAGCAUGGUCAGUACACAGGGUGACAUGCACAUUUGUGAAGCAUUCCAUAUAUUU
This 103-nucleotide small nuclear RNA is filed under the name Jaculus jaculus (lesser Egyptian jerboa). The record is from RNAcentral. Lineage: Eukaryota; Metazoa; Chordata; Mammalia; Rodentia; Dipodidae.